GCUACAGGCUUAACACAUGCAAGUCGAGGGGCAGCAUGGUCUUAGCUUGCUAAGGCCGAUGGCGACCGGCGCACGGGUGAGUAACACGUAUCCAACCUGCCGUCUACUCUUGGACAGCCUUCUGAAAGGAAGAUUAAUACAAGAUGGCAUCAUGAGUCCGCAUGUUCACAUGAUUAAAGGUAUUCCGGUAGACGAUGGGGAUGCGUUCCAUUAGAUAGUAGGCGGGGUAACGGCCCACCUAGUCUUCGAUGGAUAGGGGUUCUGAGAGGAAGGUCCCCCACAUUGGAACUGAGACACGGUCCAAACUCCUACGGGAGGCAGCAGUGAGGAAUAUUGGUCAAUGGGCGCAGGCCUGAACCAGCCAAGUAGCGUGAAGGAUGACUGCCCUAUGGGUUGUAAACUUCUUUUAUAAAGGAAUAAAGUCGGGUAUGUAUACCCGUUUGCAUGUACUUUAUGAAUAAGGAUCGGCUAACUCCGUGCCAGCAGCCGCGGUAAUACGGAGGAUCCGAGCGUUAUCCGGAUUUAUUGGGUUUAAAGGGAGCGUAGAUGGAUGUUUAAGUCAGUUGUGAAAGUUUGCGGCUCAACCGUAAAAUUGCAGUUGAUACUGGAUAUCUUGAGUGCAGUUGAGGCAGGCGGAAUUCGUGGUGUAGCGGUGAAAUGCUUAGAUAUCACGAAGAACUCCGAUUGCGAAGGCAGCCUGCUAAGCUGCAACUGACAUUGAGGCUCGAAAGUGUGGGUAUCAAACAGGAUUAGAUACCCUGGUAGUCCACACGGUAAACGAUGAAUACUCGCUGUUUGCGAUAUACAGCAAGCGGCCAAGCGAAAGCGUUAAGUAUUCCACCUGGGGAGUACGCCGGCAACGGUGAAGCUCAAAGGAAUUGACGGGGGCCCGCACAAGCGGAGGAACAUGUGGUUUAAUUCGAUGAUACGCGAGGAACCUUACCCGGGCUUAAAUUGCAGAUGAAUUACGGUGAAAGCCGUAAGCCGCAAGGCAUCUGUGAAGGUGCUGCAUGGUUGUCGUCAGCUCGUGCCGUGAGGUGUCGGCUUAAGUGCCAUAACGAGCGCAACCCUUGUUGUCAGUUACUAACAGGUUUCGCUGAGGACUCUGACAAGACUGCCAUCGUAAGAUGUGAGGAAGGUGGGGAUGACGUCAAAUCAGCACGGCCCUUACGUCCGGGGCUACACACGUGUUACAAUGGGGGGUACAGAGGGCCGCUACCACGCGAGUGGAUGCCAAUCCCAAAAACCUCUCUCAGUUCGGACUGGAGUCUGCAACCCGACUCCACGAAGCUGGAUUCGCUAGUAAUCGCGCAUCAGCC
Molecule: ribosomal RNA, 1319 nt
Filed under: uncultured organism
Description: SSU rRNA
Rfam family: Bacterial small subunit ribosomal RNA
Source: RNAcentral